RNAcentral lists this ribosomal RNA (782 nucleotides) under uncultured marine bacterium. RNAcentral's name for it is "partial 16S ribosomal RNA". It matches the Rfam family "Bacterial small subunit ribosomal RNA", at positions 76 to 867 of the family's 1533-position model. The record is from RNAcentral.
CCCGGAGGGGGGCUAAGUGCAAUUUAGGGAGUAUCNUACUGGUGGGCGAACGGGGGAAUAUAGCGCCGUUAAGGGCCUUUUGGUUUGGAAUACACGGGGAAACUUGCCUUAAGACCGAAUAACCCCUUACGGGGAAAGUUUUAUCGCCAAAGGAAGAGCCCGCCCUUGAUUAGCUAGUUGGGAGGGUAAAAGCUUACCAGGGCAACGAUCAAUAGCUGUUCUAAAAGGAGAACAACCCCCAUUGGGACUGAGAAACGGCCCAAAUUCCUACGGGGGGGACCAUGGGGGAAUCUUGUCCAAGGGGGGAAACCCUGAUGCGCCGAUCCCCCGGGGGUGAAAAAAGCCCCUGGGUUGUAAAACCCUUUCCCCCGGGAAAAAAAAGAGGGUUCCCCAAUAAAAAAGGCCGGGUAAAUUCUUGGCCGCCCCCGCGGUUAUACAAAAGGACCUAGCGGAUAUCAGAAAUUCUGGGCUUAGAAAGCUCGCAUGUGGGGAUAAAAAAGUUGGGGGAGAAACCCGAGGGCUAACUUGUGAAAGCGAGAUAAAAUUUUUUGAUCUAGAGUGAGAUAGAGAAAAGGAGUUUCUCGUGUAGGAGAGGAAAUACUCGUAUAUUAGAGAAAAAACCCCAUGUGAAAGGGCUUUUUUGUGGCACUACACAGACACUUGAGAAAAAACAUGUGGGGUAACGAGAAUGAUAUAUCCCCCUGGUACCUGCGGUCAAAAAAGAGGGGGACAAGGCGGGAGAAAAUUUUUUUAUCGGUGCCCGCCCAAAAUUAAUUACCCCC